CGGACGGGUGAGUAAUGUCUGGGAAACUGCCUGAUGGAGGGGGGUAACUACUGGAAACGGUAGCUAAUACCGCAUAACGUCGCAAGACCAAAGAGGGGGACCUUCGGGCCUCUUGCCAUCAGAUGUGCCCAGAUGGGAUUAGCUAGUAGGUGGGGUAACGGCUCACCUAGGCGACGAUCCCUAGCUGGUCUGAGAGGAUGACCAGCCACACUGGAACUGAGACACGGUCCAGACUCCUACGGGAGGCAGCAUG
RNAcentral lists this ribosomal RNA (253 nucleotides) under uncultured bacterium. RNAcentral describes it as "partial 16S ribosomal RNA". It matches the Rfam family "Bacterial small subunit ribosomal RNA", at positions 99 to 353 of the family's 1533-position model. The record is from RNAcentral.